RNAcentral lists this ribosomal RNA (253 nucleotides) under uncultured bacterium. Its description in RNAcentral is "partial 16S ribosomal RNA". It matches the Rfam family "Bacterial small subunit ribosomal RNA", at positions 524 to 776 of the family's 1533-position model. The record is from RNAcentral.
UACGAAGGGGGCUAGCGUUGUUCGGAAUCACUGGGCGUAAAGCGCACGUAGGCGGAUCUUUAAGUCAGGGGUGAAAUCCCGAGGCUCAACCUCGGAACUGCCUUUGAUACUGGGGAUCUCGAGUCCGGGAGAGGUGAGUGGAACUGCGAGUGUAGAGGUGAAAUUCGUAGAUAUUCGCAAGAACACCAGUGGCGAAGGCGGCUCACUGGCCCGGAACUGUCGCUGAGGUGCGAAAGCGUGGGGAGCAAACAGG